GGUUCACGAUCAUGAUUUAGUAGUUCGAAAUGUGUUGUUAUGCUAACAGAUCGUGGGAAUUGCGCUUUCUCUGCGAGCAGUUACCACACUGAAAAUCGACUUUCUCGAGAAACUGUUGACUCCAGAAAAGCUUUACGUGAUGCAGUUAUUAUACAAGACGGCAGAGUGGGUGCACAGUUUGCUGGACUUAAAACAGGAAUGACUUGUUCUGAACACUCAUUCUGAACACUCUAACUACAAUCUGUUCCUCUCUUUAUAUCAAGGAAUAUGAACAAUCCAGGACAUGUUCUAAUUUAUAUGGUCAAUAUUGAUUGGUGAAUAGAGUUUUA
This is a long non-coding RNA of Corticium candelabrum, 329 nucleotides long. RefSeq lists it as uncharacterized. The record is from RefSeq and is a predicted model, not a curated record. The transcript has 3 exons. Lineage: Eukaryota; Metazoa; Porifera; Homoscleromorpha; Homosclerophorida; Plakinidae.